RNAcentral lists this ribosomal RNA (301 nucleotides) under uncultured bacterium. RNAcentral's name for it is "partial 16S ribosomal RNA". It matches the Rfam family "Bacterial small subunit ribosomal RNA", at positions 509 to 808 of the family's 1533-position model. The record is from RNAcentral.
CAGCCGCCACGGUAAUACAGAGGAUGCAAGCGUUAUCCGGAAUGAUUGGGCGUAAAGUGUCUGUAGGUGGCUUUUCAAGUCCGCCGUCAAAUCCCAGGGCUCAACCCUGGACAGGCGGUGGAAACUACCAAGCUGGGUAUGGUAGGGGCAGAGGGAAUUUCCGGUGGAGCGGUGAAAUGCGUUGAGAUCGGAAAAAACACCAACGACGAAAGCACUCUGCUGGGCCGACACUGACACUUAGAGACGAAAGCUAGGGGAGCAAAUGGGAUUAGAUACCCCAGUAGUCCCUGUCUCUUAUACC